RNAcentral lists this ribosomal RNA (243 nucleotides) under uncultured bacterium. RNAcentral describes it as "partial 16S ribosomal RNA". It matches the Rfam family "Bacterial small subunit ribosomal RNA", at positions 524 to 765 of the family's 1533-position model. The record is from RNAcentral.
GACGUAGGGCGCGAGCGUUGUCCGGAUUUAUUGGGCGUAAAGAGCUCGUAGGCGGUGUGUCGCGUCGGCCGUGAAAACCUGCAGCUUAACUGUGGGCUUGCGGUCGAUACGGGCAUCACUGGAGUUCGGCAGGGGAGACUGGAAUUCCUGGUGUAGCGGUGAAAUGCGCAGAUAUCAGGAGGAACACCAAAGGCGAAGGCAGUGUCCUGGGGAGUACCUGACGCUCAGGUGCGAAAGCCAGGG